GUCAGCAGCUGUACCACCUGCAGUUCAGAGUAGGUCAUCCAUCUGAAGAUAAGCAGGUUUGGGCCUGGCCAGUACUUGGAUGGGAGACCAACUUAGAAAGCUGGGUUGCUGCUGGAA
RNAcentral lists this ribosomal RNA (117 nucleotides) under Paramormyrops kingsleyae. Lineage: Eukaryota; Metazoa; Chordata; Actinopteri; Osteoglossiformes; Mormyridae. The record is from RNAcentral.